CUUCAAGAUAUUUCACUUGGGAGACAGAGUGUAUUUUCAGUUGAUAACAAACGCCUUUCUGUCAAUUUCCAGCCUCUUCUUCAUCCAAGGCUUUACAUUUUCGUACCUCGCCAACGUAAAGGACGAAGUGCUUCCUGUAACAAAAUGCCUGCGAACCUACAUGGUCACUCUUGUUCGCCGAUAUGUAAGGCUGACGGUUCCAGUUGUGAUAGUCGUAUUCUUCGCUUUCCUGCUCCCUACUAUGGGCGAAGGGCCCGCCGACCAAGAGCUGUUUUCGAAGCAGAUCGGAAGGUGUGCAGAAAACUGGUGGACAGUGAUCACGCACACGAACAAUUUCAACGCACUUAAU
This is a long non-coding RNA of Rhipicephalus microplus (southern cattle tick), 349 nucleotides long. The record is from RefSeq and is a predicted model, not a curated record. NCBI's taxonomy places the organism in Eukaryota, Metazoa, Arthropoda, Arachnida, Ixodida, Ixodidae.